Coccomyxa subellipsoidea C-169 is the source of this 73-nucleotide transfer RNA. It matches the Rfam family "tRNA". Rfam says of the family: Transfer RNA (tRNA) molecules are approximately 80 nucleotides in length. Lineage: Eukaryota; Viridiplantae; Chlorophyta; Trebouxiophyceae; Coccomyxaceae. The record is from Rfam.
GGGGACGUAGCUCAAAUGGUAGAGCGCGCGCUUCGCAUGCGUGAGGUAGGGGGAUCGAUGCCCCCCGUCUCCA